Molecule: ribosomal RNA, 575 nt
Filed under: Aspergillus subsessilis
Lineage: Eukaryota; Fungi; Ascomycota; Eurotiomycetes; Eurotiales; Aspergillaceae
Description: eukaryotic LSU rRNA
Rfam family: Eukaryotic large subunit ribosomal RNA
Source: RNAcentral
AAAGAAACCAACCGGGAUUGCCCCAGUAACGGCGAGUGAAGCGGCAAGAGCUCAAAUUUGAAAUCUGGCCCCCCCGGGGUCCGAGUUGUAAUUUGCAGAGGAUGCUUUGGGUGCGGCCCCUGUCUAAGUGCCCUGGAACGGGCCGUCAGAGAGGGUGAGAAUCCCGUCUUGGGCAGGGUGCCCGUGCCCGUGUAAAGCUCCUUCGACGAGUCGAGUUGUUUGGGAAUGCAGCUCUAAAUGGGUGGUAAAUUUCAUCUAAAGCUAAAUACCGGCCGGAGACCGAUAGCGCACAAGUAGAGUGAUCGAAAGAUGAAAAGCACUUUGAAAAGAGAGUUAAAUAGCACGUGAAAUUGUUAAAAGGGAAGCGCUUGCGACCAGACUCGCCCCCGGGGUUCAACCAGCAUUCGUGCUGGUGUACUUCCCCGGGGGCGGGCCAGCGUCGGUUUGGGCGGCCGGUCAAAGGCCCCAGGAAUGUGUCGCCCUCCGGGGCGUCUUAUAGCCUGGGGUGCAAUGCGGCCAGCCCGGACCGAGGAACGCGCUUCGGCACGGACGCUGGCGUAAUGGUCACAAACGAC